Molecule: long non-coding RNA, 2467 nt
Filed under: Capsicum annuum
Lineage: Eukaryota; Viridiplantae; Streptophyta; Magnoliopsida; Solanales; Solanaceae
Description: long non-coding RNA (CANN_LNC009389)
Source: RNAcentral
GGGAUAUCCGGAUAUGGUAAGGUUUGUAUGUUGCUUAAGGAUGUUUUAUCAAAGGGUCAUGUGAUUGAAUGCCCCUAAUCUAUGAUCCACAAAUCUACACUUGAUUCAAAGCAUUUACAUAAAGUAUUACCAAAAUCAAUACAAAAGACACAAAUCACUGUAUCUGCAAAAUUUACUAAACCAACAUUGAAGACCUUAAUUACAUAGAUAAUUGCUACUACCCUUCUCCUUAAGGCUUUAAGGCGAAUCAUAUGGCGGUUGAAAAGAAAAAUGACUUCACCUUCUCUGGUGUCAAUGAGAGCAAUUUGAGCACCCCCGAUUGACCUGUUUUUCCCGAGGACUUUCAAAUGCGUCUCCCGCACCUAAACUUGGGGAAGAAGUGCAUAAUGUCCUUCCUCAGCCGUGUUGUUAAUUUGCAAUUGCUACACCAAGCUCAUAAGUUGACCAUACUGCUCCUUUGAUGCGUUGUUAACUUGUCCUCUAGGUUGUAAGUGUUCCUUCCCAUAUACAGACAUCAUGUCAUUUGGUACACCAUGCACACCCUUCACAACCCUUUUUCCUUUGGAAUUUUAAAUAUGCUCAAAGUUUGAGCUGUUUGAACUGUUGUUUUAUCUGGGUAUCUGGUUGUAGGACUUGGAAGGUUGAUUAGUGUUGGCCUGUGGAUAACCGUGCAGCUUAUAACACCUCUUGUUGGUUGUCACGACCCAAUUUUUCAAGUCGUGAUAGCGCCUACUCUAACCCACCAAUAGGCAAGUCAAGCCAUAGACCGGAAUGAUAGGUAACGGGCUAACAGAUAAUAAAAGAUCACAUAUCAUGAUAGCAUCAACAAUAGUAAGUGAAAUCUAAGAAGGGAGCAUAUAUAUUAUAUCAAAAUGAGAGGAGAAAAAAGGAUUAACUAUACAAAUGAAUCCUUACCAAGACCUGAUAAGGUCAAUACUAGAGCCACUACUAACAGGUACCCAGAGUAUUAGACAAAAAUCUAAAAUGUACACAUUCCACUACUAACAGGUACCCAGAGUAUUAGACAAAAAUCUAAAAUGUACACAAUAUACACAAGCAGUAUCGAGUGCAAAAGACUAACUAGAGUAGAUAGAGGAGGAUCAGCCUCGGACGACAGCAAGUCCACCUUGCUCUGAAUCAGUACAGAAGGUAGGAAUCACGUCAACGUUGACUGCUAGUACCCGGAUCUACAUCAGGAAAAGGAUGCAGAAGUGUAGUAUGAGUACCAAAACAACGGGUACUCAAUAGGCAUCAUCGGCUGAUUGAGCUCAAUACAGAAAAGGUAUAAUUACAAUGUGAGGACGUAAUUUGAGUCAUCAGUAAAUAGGGAUGGAAAGGUAAGCAACUACCAAGCUACGCAACGGCUAUAAAGGAAUAAACAGAAAAUAAAUAAUGCAGUAAUAACUGACAAAUCAAAGAUAACCUAAGUGGUCCCCCAUAAGCCCGCUAGGCACACUGAAGAAAACAAUUAACCCAACUGUACCCCCAUAAGCUGGUGGGACGCACAAGUAACGAAAAUAAACAUAAAUAAUCUAAAAUUGCACUGAUCCCAAUAAAUCAUGAUAGUCAUCCAGAUGUGCACCAAACUCAAACUGGUACCAAUGGGUGGUAACGAGAGGCCAGACACCGGACUCGAACCGAUAGUAAUGGAUAAUAACAAGAGGAGACGUGCCGGAUUCCAAUCGGACAUAGUGAGUAAUAACGCUAGGCCAUAUAUAUAGAACUCAUAAUCAGCUGUCGGACUCGAACCGAAACUCAGAGGAACCACAACCAUAAUCAGAUGCCGAACUCGAACCGAAACUCAUAGUAACAAUAAUAAUCAAAUGUCGGACUUGAACCGGAACUCAUAGUAACAAUAAUAAUCAAAUGCCGGACUUGAACUGGAACUCAUAGUAACAAUAAUAAUCAAAUGCUGGACUCAAACCGGAACUCAGUAACAAAAAUAAUCAAAUGUCAACGUCUAAAUAAUCAUCCGUCAAUCUUAAUUAAAAAGGGAUAAAUUCAAGAUUUUGCAAUUUAGUUUCACAUCCUAAAGUGAUAGAUGUCAUAUUAUAUUAAAAGAUAAUAUUUCAAUAUUUACUAGAACGGGAUCUUAAUCCAGAUAAAUAAGACAGUUUAUAUAAAACAAAUAAAUAUGCAUCUACAAGCACCUAUCCAAAGUUAGCAUAAUAGUUUACAAUUUCAAUAAAUAAGUUCAAUCUAAAGGUAGGGUAAGCCUAAUCUACCUGAACGCCAAGACUGUAAUAGCUUUCUGUGAAGCCUCCAAAUAGUAUCCCGUUAGAACCUGAGUUUAAAUAAUGUCAAAGAAAUUAUUUUUCACAACACCUCUUAACUUAUAUGCAAUUUUAUAGAGCUAACCACGAACUCUAACCAAUAUUCUUUGAAAAAAAAAAAAGAGAUAAUAAACCGAGAAGGUCCAAAUAUAAGGAAAAACACAAGUAUGGAUGUGAUGAAAGUUUACUUUAAG